RNAcentral lists this long non-coding RNA (549 nucleotides) under Chinchilla lanigera (long-tailed chinchilla). RNAcentral's name for it is "lncRNA (ENSCLAG00000027526.1)". Lineage: Eukaryota; Metazoa; Chordata; Mammalia; Rodentia; Chinchillidae. The record is from RNAcentral.
AUGGUGAGUUAUCUGAGCAUUUCUCACCCUUUCUCUGUUUUGUGUAGAUGUGCACCAGGGUAUUUUGGGAAUCCCCAGAAGUUUGGAGGUAGCUGCCAACCAUGCAAUUGUAAUGGCAAUGGCCAGUUGGGUACCUGUGACCCCCUAACUGGAGACUGCAUAAGCCAAGAACCCAAAGACAGCAUUCCUGCGGAAGAAUGUGAUGAUUGUGACAGCUGUGUGAUGACACUCCUGAAUGAUCUGGCCAGCAUGGGUGAAGAGCUCCUCCUGGUCAAGUCUCAAGUGCAGGACCUGAGUGCCAGCUCAGGCGCUUUGGAACAGAUUCGACACAUGGAAACCCAGGCCAAGGACCUGAGGGUAAAUUCCCCCUGGGAUAGAGGGAGAGUCGAAUGACAGCUGCUCAGUGAACACAGCUGUGCCUUGGUAUCCACAGGGGUCUGGUUCCAAGAACCCUCACGAAUACCAAAGCCUACUGAUGCUGAAGUCCCUUAUAGAUGGUGUGGUAUUUGCAUAUAAUCUGUUCACAUCCUUCUGCAUACUUUAAACCAU